UAAUUUUAUUAUAUGAUUAAAUUUUUAUUUUAGUGAAAAAAUUAAACCAAUUGAAAGGAGAGAAAUGUCAUGAUUGCAUGUACAGAGUAUCUCAUAGUUUUUCAAGUGAGAAAUUUAAUACAUUUUCUCUUUUUCCUUUUUAUUAUUUUAAUCAUUUUAAUACUGAAAAACUCUAUUGAAAUACUCUCGAUAGAGAUGGUCUUAUAGUGAGAUCAUACUAUCUAUGUAUAAACUACACUAAACUAAUAGUAUAUGCAAUUAGCUAGGUAGCAGAUAGAGGUUGACCGCAUCUCAAU
RNAcentral lists this small RNA (296 nucleotides) under Arabidopsis thaliana (thale cress). RNAcentral describes it as "ATSL049010". The record is from RNAcentral. Lineage: Eukaryota; Viridiplantae; Streptophyta; Magnoliopsida; Brassicales; Brassicaceae.